ACAUCUCAAGACAUCCGUCAGGAAGUUAAAGCUUGGUUGCAAAUGGGUCUUCCAAAUGGACAAUGACCACAAGCAUACUUCCGAAGUUGUUGCAAAAUGGCUUAAGGACAACAAUGUGUUUGUCAAUGGCCAUCAUCAGUGAAUCCAUGUGACACACACCUGAGGAGAGUUUGGAGAGUCUCGUUGUCUUUGGGUCCUCUUUGGUUCUCUCUGUCUCCGCUCGUAGUCCCCCACUCCUGGCACAGGAACUGCCGGGCUAGGGUUGCUAGAGGCAGAGACUGUUAUAUACUGAACAGAUCCUCAUUGAAAACAAAUGCAACUUUUCAGAAUAUAAUUACAUCUUUGGAAUUGAUUGGAUUGAAAUGGAAUUGAUCCUGAUACAGUCCAUUUUACUGUUGCAUCAAUCCUAUAGACAUUGAUUUAGUGUGUGUCUUACCAGUCUGCUCCCUGUAUGUAGCCUGGUGCCCUCCUCUCUCAGCCACAGUGGUGAGCAGCUGGGAGAGACACAGAGCUAUGCUGAGGCUGGGCACUGUACUGCGGAAGUUCAGCAGGUACUCAAAGCUGUGUCUGAAGACCAGAGAGAUAAGGGAGAACCGCUUUACCAUACUUGUCACACACACAACACUGGCUGUGAUCUGACAGGGAAUGUUUCACCUCUCAAUUGAUGAGCUGGUCCAAGGUCAGUUCCCUCUUUCAGGCGGUCAGCCAGCACUCCCAGAGCUCUCUUCAGCAGGCAAUGGCCAUUGGGUGUCAGUAUACCACAGACACUGGAAAGGGGAAUUUACUUUAUAGGGGAGACCCAACCAUCUUGUAACCUCAUUUAUUGUAGCUCUUCUCCUGCUAUUGUGGUUUCCAUGCUCCCACUGGCUGUAAGGUGAAUAAUACUAUUCUGAGUGUUCAUGGUGUUUUUGUUCCCUUCUCCUCCUCUCUGUAAUAUUUACCUGGAGCACACUGAUGAUGUUCUGAAGGCAGUGGAGGAGAUAGCUGGAGAGGGCAUCCCUGAGCUCCUUAACGCAGCAGCCAAAGACGCCAGCUCUAGAACUUAGCCCACGCUCAACAGAUGUUUGACAACAGACCUGUGCUCAAUGUGUGCCUGAAGGGUGAGGAGAUCCUCUCUCAACGCUCAAAGGGGAGUUAUGAAGAGGAGGAAGGCUCGCUGCUGCCUCAGGAGCAGUCAGAAGAUGAGGU
Non-coding RNA from Salmo salar (Atlantic salmon), 1188 nucleotides. NCBI's taxonomy places the organism in Eukaryota, Metazoa, Chordata, Actinopteri, Salmoniformes, Salmonidae. The record is from RefSeq and is a predicted model, not a curated record.